This 119-nucleotide ribosomal RNA is filed under the name Triticum aestivum (bread wheat). Lineage: Eukaryota; Viridiplantae; Streptophyta; Magnoliopsida; Poales; Poaceae. The record is from RNAcentral. RNAcentral also lists the same sequence under 3 other names.
GGAUGCGAUCAUACCAGCACUAAAGCACCGGAUCCCAUCAGAACUCCGAAGUUAAGCAUGCUUGGGCGAGAGUAGUACUAGGAUGGGUGACCUCGUGGGAAGUCCUCGUGUUGCAUUCC